RNAcentral lists this long non-coding RNA (481 nucleotides) under Oryza sativa Indica Group (long-grained rice). RNAcentral describes it as "lncRNA OsPr106_08g0016390". The record is from RNAcentral. Lineage: Eukaryota; Viridiplantae; Streptophyta; Magnoliopsida; Poales; Poaceae.
GUUUGGAGGCGGCGCGAGGUCCGGGAGGCGGCUCUAGGGUGGAGAUCCGAGAACAGCAUAUCUCCAGCCGCCGCCGCUCUCUAUCCCGCCCUUGGUUGCCGCCGGUCUCCAUCCCACUUCAGCCGCCGCCAGUCUCCAUCCCGUCCUCAGCCGCCGGCGGUCUCCAUCCCGCUUCAGCCGCCGACGGUCUCCAUCCCGCUUCAGCCGCCGCCGCUCUCCUUCCCGCUCUCCAUCCCGCCCAGUCGCCGGCGCUCGCCAUCUCUCCUUCCUCGCUUCGGAUUCACCAGUUGCGGGAGAGGGCGAGGUCGAGGGCAACAGCCCGGACACCAAGAAGCAGGAGAGGCACAGGCGUGUGGGGUUGGCAAAAGUAAAGCUGAAGGAGUUGAUAUUACCCAAGGUAUUUGAGAAAAAACUAAAUACAGUUGUACUUACAUUUGCCUAAUAUGAAGCAUUUAAUCUUGCCCCUGCAUAUUUAUACUAG